Molecule: ribosomal RNA, 2902 nt
Filed under: Escherichia coli
Lineage: Bacteria; Pseudomonadati; Pseudomonadota; Gammaproteobacteria; Enterobacterales; Enterobacteriaceae
Description: bacterial LSU rRNA
Rfam family: Bacterial large subunit ribosomal RNA
Source: RNAcentral
UUAAGCGACUAAGCGUACACGGUGGAUGCCCUGGCAGUCAGAGGCGAUGAAGGACGUGCUAAUCUGCGAUAAGCGUCGGUAAGGUGAUAUGAACCGUUAUAACCGGCGAUUUCCGAAUGGGGAAACCCAGUGUGUUUCGACACACUAUCAUUAACUGAAUCCAUAGGUUAAUGAGGCGAACCGGGGGAACUGAAACAUCUAAGUACCCCGAGGAAAAGAAAUCAACCGAGAUUCCCCCAGUAGCGGCGAGCGAACGGGGAGCAGCCCAGAGCCUGAAUCAGUGUGUGUGUUAGUGGAAGCGUCUGGAAAGGCGCGCGAUACAGGGUGACAGCCCCGUACACAAAAAUGCACAUGCUGUGAGCUCGAUGAGUAGGGCGGGACACGUGGUAUCCUGUCUGAAUAUGGGGGGACCAUCCUCCAAGGCUAAAUACUCCUGACUGACCGAUAGUGAACCAGUACCGUGAGGGAAAGGCGAAAAGAACCCCGGCGAGGGGAGUGAAAAAGAACCUGAAACCGUGUACGUACAAGCAGUGGGAGCACGCUUAGGCGUGUGACUGCGUACCUUUUGUAUAAUGGGUCAGCGACUUAUAUUCUGUAGCAAGGUUAACCGAAUAGGGGAGCCGAAGGGAAACCGAGUCUUAACUGGGCGUUAAGUUGCAGGGUAUAGACCCGAAACCCGGUGAUCUAGCCAUGGGCAGGUUGAAGGUUGGGUAACACUAACUGGAGGACCGAACCGACUAAUGUUGAAAAAUUAGCGGAUGACUUGUGGCUGGGGGUGAAAGGCCAAUCAAACCGGGAGAUAGCUGGUUCUCCCCGAAAGCUAUUUAGGUAGCGCCUCGUGAAUUCAUCUCCGGGGGUAGAGCACUGUUUCGGCAAGGGGGUCAUCCCGACUUACCAACCCGAUGCAAACUGCGAAUACCGGAGAAUGUUAUCACGGGAGACACACGGCGGGUGCUAACGUCCGUCGUGAAGAGGGAAACAACCCAGACCGCCAGCUAAGGUCCCAAAGUCAUGGUUAAGUGGGAAACGAUGUGGGAAGGCCCAGACAGCCAGGAUGUUGGCUUAGAAGCAGCCAUCAUUUAAAGAAAGCGUAAUAGCUCACUGGUCGAGUCGGCCUGCGCGGAAGAUGUAACGGGGCUAAACCAUGCACCGAAGCUGCGGCAGCGACGCUGAUGCGUUGUUGGGUAGGGGAGCGUUCUGUAAGCCUGCGAAGGUGUGCUGUGAGGCAUGCUGGAGGUAUCAGAAGUGCGAAUGCUGACAUAAGUAACGAUAAAGCGGGUGAAAAGCCCGCUCGCCGGAAGACCAAGGGUUCCUGUCCAACGUUAAUCGGGGCAGGGUGAGUCGACCCCUAAGGCGAGGCCGAAAGGCGUAGUCGAUGGGAAACAGGUUAAUAUUCCUGUACUUGGUGUUACUGCGAAGGGGGGACGGAGAAGGCUAUGUUGGCCGGGCGACGGUUGUCCCGGUUUAAGCGUGUAGGCUGGUUUUCCAGGCAAAUCCGGAAAAUCAAGGCUGAGGCGUGAUGACGAGGCACUACGGUGCUGAAGCAACAAAUGCCCUGCUUCCAGGAAAAGCCUCUAAGCAUCAGGUAACAUCAAAUCGUACCCCAAACCGACACAGGUGGUCAGGUAGAGAAUACCAAGGCGCUUGAGAGAACUCGGGUGAAGGAACUAGGCAAAAUGGUGCCGUAACUUCGGGAGAAGGCACGCUGAUAUGUAGGUGAAGUCCCUCGCGGAUGGAGCUGAAAUCAGUCGAAGAUACCAGCUGGCUGCAACUGUUUAUUAAAAACACAGCACUGUGCAAACACGAAAGUGGACGUAUACGGUGUGACGCCUGCCCGGUGCCGGAAGGUUAAUUGAUGGGGUUAGCGCAAGCGAAGCUCUUGAUCGAAGCCCCGGUAAACGGCGGCCGUAACUAUAACGGUCCUAAGGUAGCGAAAUUCCUUGUCGGGUAAGUUCCGACCUGCACGAAUGGCGUAAUGAUGGCCAGGCUGUCUCCACCCGAGACUCAGUGAAAUUGAACUCGCUGUGAAGAUGCAGUGUACCCGCGGCAAGACGGAAAGACCCCGUGAACCUUUACUAUAGCUUGACACUGAACAUUGAGCCUUGAUGUGUAGGAUAGGUGGGAGGCUUUGAAGUGUGGACGCCAGUCUGCAUGGAGCCGACCUUGAAAUACCACCCUUUAAUGUUUGAUGUUCUAACGUGGACCCGUGAUCCGGGUUGCGGACAGUGUCUGGUGGGUAGUUUGACUGGGGCGGUCUCCUCCUAAAGAGUAACGGAGGAGCACGAAGGUUGGCUAAUCCUGGUCGGACAUCAGGAGGUUAGUGCAAUGGCAUAAGCCAGCUUGACUGCGAGCGUGACGGCGCGAGCAGGUGCGAAAGCAGGUCAUAGUGAUCCGGUGGUUCUGAAUGGAAGGGCCAUCGCUCAACGGAUAAAAGGUACUCCGGGGAUAACAGGCUGAUACCGCCCAAGAGUUCAUAUCGACGGCGGUGUUUGGCACCUCGAUGUCGGCUCAUCACAUCCUGGGGCUGAAGUAGGUCCCAAGGGUAUGGCUGUUCGCCAUUUAAAGUGGUACGCGAGCUGGGUUUAGAACGUCGUGAGACAGUUCGGUCCCUAUCUGCCGUGGGCGCUGGAGAACUGAGGGGGGCUGCUCCUAGUACGAGAGGACCGGAGUGGACGCAUCACUGGUGUUCGGGUUGUCAUGCCAAUGGCACUGCCCGGUAGCUAAAUGCGGAAGAGAUAAGUGCUGAAAGCAUCUAAGCACGAAACUUGCCCCGAGAUGAGUUCUCCCUGACUCCUUGAGAGUCCUGAAGGAACGUUGAAGACGACGACGUUGAUAGGCCGGGUGUGUAAGCGCAGCGAUGCGUUGAGCUAACCGGUACUAAUGAACCGUGAGGCUUAACCUU